This is a long non-coding RNA of Bubalus bubalis (water buffalo), 1042 nucleotides long. RefSeq lists it as uncharacterized. The transcript has 3 exons. The record is from RefSeq and is a predicted model, not a curated record. Lineage: Eukaryota; Metazoa; Chordata; Mammalia; Artiodactyla; Bovidae.
GUCACUUGAAGAAAAUCAGGAGAAAGCACAUGAGCAAAUGCAGGUGGAGAGGCAAACAGUGGUUUUCCUGCCUUUGGAGGACACAGAGAGGAAAAUGAGGAAGAGAACCUGGAGGAAUAAGCUACUGGAGUUGUGAGCUAUCCUGGGGACCACAGAAUCCAUCCCCUCCCUUAUACAUUGAGGCAAAGACCCCCAAGAGCUACAGUGGCUUGACUGAGGUGUUCCAGCUGCAUGACCACCUGCCAGAAAUGCUGUAGAAGAAAUGCUACAAAUUAGGUACUGGAGAAGACUGCAAAAACGGCUGCACUUAUUCUCUUCCUUUUUUACAUAUCCUUUUGCAAGAUGACGUUGAAAUAGUUCCCAGUGAGAGAUGGCAUUUCCCCACUCCUUGAAUCUGGGCUGGCCUUACGAACUGCUUCACCUAACAAAAUGCAACAGAAGCAAUACCAGUUCUCAGCAUGCCAGUUCUGAGUCUAGGUCUCAAAAGGCCUUGCAUAGUUUCAUUCUCCUAGAAAUUUCAGAGACCCAUAUGAAUAAACCCUAGCUAGACUAGUUUUUUGAGAGAAUGCUAGACUUCACUAGCUAUGGUGAAGUACCAUAGCUAGUAGCCAUCCAACCUCUGGAAGCAGAGCCACUUAGCUGACAUAUAAGCUCUCCACAGACACAUAAGUGAGCUUAACCUAUAAAUUCAUAGGCAAUGACUCACACAGUUAAUGGUUGCUGUGUGAUUCUCAAAAGCACCGUCUGAGAUGAAGGGAAGAGAUAGGGAAUGCCUGAUGUCCCAAUCGGAACAGCCUAUGCCGCCGUCAUCUACCAGCGUCCCAAAGGCCUCUAGAGACUUUUUUCAAUGGACUUAGUGGUCAGUGUUAAUUGGGCAUCUUACUAUUCACCAGACAAUGGCUUUAAUGCUUUAUGUAAAUUAAUUCUUAAGCCUCAAAAGACCUAGUGAGAAAUGUAUUAUUUUUUGAAUUUAUAUGAACUUUAUUUUUAGACAACCUACAUGAUGUGUUGUGUGUUCCUCCCCUCCUCCCCACCUCAAAAA